CGGGACGGGUGAGUAAUGUAUGGGGAUCUGCCUGAUGGCGGGGGAUAACUACUGGAAACGGUAGCUAAUACCGCAUAAUGUCUGCGGACCAAAGCGGGGGACCUCCGGGCCUCGCGCCAUCAGAUGAACCCAUAUGGGAUUAGCUUGUAGGUAAGGUAACGGCUUACCUAGGCGACGAUCCCUAGCUGGUCUGAGAGGAUGAUCAGCCACACUGGGACUGAGACACGGCCCAA
RNAcentral lists this ribosomal RNA (233 nucleotides) under uncultured bacterium. RNAcentral describes it as "partial 16S ribosomal RNA". It matches the Rfam family "Bacterial small subunit ribosomal RNA", at positions 100 to 334 of the family's 1533-position model. The record is from RNAcentral.